RNAcentral lists this long non-coding RNA (5396 nucleotides) under Homo sapiens (human). RNAcentral describes it as "HSALNT0317303". The record is from RNAcentral. Lineage: Eukaryota; Metazoa; Chordata; Mammalia; Primates; Hominidae.
CCAGCCUCCUCUUAAACAUGACAAAGAAUCCAAGGACUUGUGCUGGGGCUGUCAGCUGCUAUUCUGGUGCCCUGGGGACGAAGAAGGGAUCUGGAGGGAAGACUGUCACCCUCUUGCGAAUGUUUCCAAGAAGCAGCUCAGCAUGGGAGAGAAAAGGGGAGAUCCCAGUUCCAGGAACACCUGGCCAGUGUUUCACCUGUUUAUCGGAGUUGACAGGACCAGCCAGCCCUUUCCCACCUCUCCCCAUCAUGAUGGAUGGGAGCCUGGCCUUUGAGAAAGCACAGAACGUGGCACGUUGGAGGAAAUCAGUAAGUGUUUGCUAAAGGUCCAACAAUGAAACAGAACAGAUAUAUCCAGUGCUAUGCCGCGUCAAAAGAGUAUGAGAGGUAUUGUGGUGAUGCUUUUGAAUGCUAAUCAGAAUAAGGAGGGUGACUAGUCCAUAGUUAUAUAGAAUAUAGGAUAUACAGAAUAUACCUUUUUCUGUAACGGGAUGUGUCACUUAACUUUGUUCCUUAAAGCUCCAGAAGCCCAAGGUCACCCACAAUGAUUCAAGUAUUAUCAAUGUUGAGAGCCUGUAAAAGCAUCAAGUAUAUUAUAGUUUCCAAAAAAUUGUGAAUUAGACUGAAAACCAGCAUUUAAAAAAUAAAGUGAUGUUGACUUAAACACUGGUUUUAUAUACAUGCCGCAUAUGAGCUGUGGAGGCCGCUCACAUGCCAGCGUACUGGUUCAUCUGCAAUGGGCAGGCGGGCCAUACCCCACUGGGGAGAAAUCUUAUGGGCUUCAGAAAUGUCUAAUGAAAUAAGAUUUUUAACUAGUUCAAAAUCGGAGUUCAGAAACAGUUCAGUUAAUAUUUAAGUGUCGAGUUAAGAGAGGAGGUUGAACAAAAUUCAUUUUGAAGCUUUCACAGAGUUUUUAAAAAGCAAAACUUUAGACUUAAAAUGGACUGUUUUAUUAUAUGCAAUGCACGUGAAUAUUAAAUGUAUGUUAAGUUUUUCAUUUAGCAGAUUUCUCCCCAGACUUUUAAAACCACCACCAAAAAAUAUUUACAUAUUCUCUCCUCUCCCCCAAAGCAUCCCUCCCGUACACAAAUACCCUUAUUUUGAGACCGUGUUGCUCUAGAUUAAACCAGUUCUUCCAAGAGCAGCCCGUAGGAUUCUGCUCCAUCCAGAGCAAGGCCCUUGGCUAAAGUCACUGCCUCUGCUUGACUGAGCCGGGCUGGGAAUCUCAUUAUGGAAGCUUUCCACCUCCUUCCCAAGCCAGCCCUCUAGCGGAGGCCAAGAUUGCGUCAUCGGUCCUGGGCCUCAUCCCUCCUUGCCUGAGGCCUGCUCACCUAAUGUGUUUCAGGAGCAUUCCAGCAGCCAGGCCUUCAGUUGCUCCCCGAUCCCAGAUGGGGAAAACCUUGUGCGGCACAUUUGCCUCAGGAAGACUGCACUGGGCUCCCCGGCGCCCCUAGGACAGCGUCCCUUCACGUCGGAGAGACUGGGUGUGGGCCGUGAGGUUUAGGAGGCUUUAGGAGAAGGAAGAUCCUCUCUCAGGAGUGAAAUGAUCUUAUCUGAGAGGAUGGAAGUGGUGAGGGCAUCAGCAUGGGUCCUGGGCUGCGGCUGUGCCUCUUCCUCCCCAUGCUGACACGUGCUUGCCCACAAGCGCCCCGGGCCUCUACAUCUCUUGGUAGUUUAAAGCUCUAUUUUAGUCUCAACUAGCAGUUUCUCUCACUGGUAGAUCUAAGUUCUAAGACUAUUCAAUGGGUUCUGUUUCUUUUUUUAAGAAUUAAAAAAACUGUUCCAGUUAAUUCACGGUCACUAUGAAAAAAAUAGGCAGGACAUGUAAAUAAAAGAUUAAAAUAUAUACAAAUCAAAGAAGGAAGUACACCCAGGCCAGUUAUCAGGCAAGCUUGCCAGACAUCAAUCCAGCAAGAAAACGAUAGUGUGCUUUGAAAAUGCCAAAUCCGGCCGGGCGGGCGGCUCCCGCCUGUGAUCCCGGCACUUUGGGAGGCCGAGGCGGGCGGAUCACGAGGUCAGGAGAUCGAGACCAUCCUGGCUAACACGGUGAAACCCCGUCUCUACUAAAAAUACAAAAAAUUAGCCGGGCGUGGUGGCGGGCGCCUGUAGUCCCAGCUACUUGGGAGGCUGAGGCAGGAGAAUGGCGUGAACCCGGGAGGCGGAGCUUGCAGUGAGCCGAGAUGGCACCACUGCACUCCAGCCUGGGCAACAGAGCAAGACUCUGUCUCAAAAAAAAAAAAAAAAAAAAAGAAAAAGAAAAGAAAAUGCCAAAUCCGGCCAGGUGCGGUGGCUCAUGCCUGUAAUCCCAGCAUUUUGGGAGGCCAAGGCGGGUGGAUCACCAGAAGUCAGGAGUUCAAGACCAGCUUGACCAACAUGGAGAAACCCCGUCUCUACUAAAAAUACAAAAUUAGCUGGGCAUGGUGACGCAUGCCUGUAAUCCCAGCCACUCGGGAGCCUGAGGCAGGAGAAUCACUUAAACCCAGGAGGCAGAGGUUACUGUGAGCCAAGAUCGUCCCAUUGCACUCCAGCCUGGGCAACAAAAGUGAGACUCUGUCUCAAAAAAAAAAAAGAAAAAAGAAAGAAAAAAAGAAAAUGCCAAAUCCAUUACUUCUUUGGGAACCUCAGGUGUAACCGCUGGUGUGCUGUGGAUGACACAGCAUCACUGGGAUCUGGUGCCUGGUAUGAGCUGUGUGAAGGAGUAGGAGUGUGCUCACCCAUCCGCAGGGCCACCGUUGGUCACUGUCCUACAUUUUCCCUCCUUGCUCCCAGGGCUAGUCCUGGUUAGGUGUGGGCGGCAAUCUGGGGACAGCAGUCAGCUUGCUGUCUGCUCCACUCUGCAACAAACUGCCUUCCUCAGUGCCCACCCCAACGGAGAAGGAACAAAUGGUCUUCUGUUUGGAUGGAGGAGAGGAUUUGUAUCUGUUCUCAGCUGCCUGUGGGUUUGUGCUUCCCACCUGCCUGCCCAGGCCUCAUCUGAUGUAUCAGGAGUCCUCUGGGCGGGCACCAAUGAGGGCAGCCUUUCAACUAAUCCGGGGUGCCACCGAGGAGCUGGAGUGCGAGCUCUUUGGCCCUAUGGGAAGCUCCCCUGGGAGGCUGCACUCUUUUCUACCAGUGAAUGUUCUUUCACCCACUUCCUGCGGGCGCUGGCCAGAUCCUCUGUGAGCAGUGGAGCUUGGCAUGGUUCAGCGUGGAGCAGCCCUCCCAGCCACCCAGGGAAAUCUCUCCAUUCAAUUACCUCCUGGCUUCCCACGCGUGGCCCAUUAGCCUUGUCUGGGGCUCUUAUGCAUCAGGAUUUAUCAUUGUGCAGCACCUGCGGGGGAGCUUGCCCCAGGCUUUGAAGGUCCUUCUGCAGAGGAGCUUAGGCAGGAGCAGGGGGCGCACGGAGGAGGUUUCUCUCAGUGGAGGAGCACGUGCUAUGAUUUCCUAGCCUGCUGUUGACGCUCCAUUGCGGUCCUCAUCACUUCAGAGCACUUUCAUUCUUAUUUUAUUUUUAAAUUUUUAAAAGAGACUGGGUCUCUUUUGUUGCCCAGGCUAGAGUACCGUGCUGUGAUCACAGCUCCCUGGAGGCUUAAACUCCUGGGCUCAAGCAAUUCUCGUGUCUCAGCCCCCUGAGUCGCUAAGACUACAGGUGGGCAUCACCAUGCCUGGCUAAUUGAUUUUAUUUUUUAGAGAUGAGCUCUUGCCACGUUUCCCAGACUGUGCUUGAACUCCUGGCCUCAAGCAAUCCUCCCACUUCAGCCCCAAGAGUUGCUGGGAUUACAGGGGGAAGCCACCUUGUCCGGCCCAGAAGCACUUUUCAAAGCCUCUUACGUUGGAUGCUGUAGGUUCCAUGCGACAAUGACACUAAUUAUGAUUUAAGCAGCACCUACUAGAAAGGAGCGUGUCUCAUACAUUAUUGAUCACUCUUAAAACUGCCUAGCUCCACGUGGUGGCUCACUCCUGUAAUCCCAGCUCUUUGGGAGGCUGAGGCAGGCGGAUCACCUGAGGUCAGCAGUUCGAGACCAGCCUGGCCAACAUGGCGAAACCCCCUUUCUCUACUAAAAAUACAAAAAUUAGCCAGGCGUGGAGGCGCGUGCCUGUAAUCCCAGCUACUUGGGAGGCUGAGGCAGGAGAAUCACUUGAACCUGGGAGACGGAGGUUGCAGUGAGCCGAGAUUGCACCACUGCACUCCAGCCUGGGUGACAGAGUGAGACUCCAUGUAAAAACAAACAAACAAAGAACCCCAAACUGCCUAGCUCCAUUUUGUUCAACAAGAGGCUCAGAGAGUAUGUUUGAGGUCACCCACGUGUGUAUUUUACGUCUAAAACCUCUCCUGACCCUCGAAUGACCCACUCCUGGCUGUAGUCAGUUAGGUCUGUUCAGCCGCAGGAGAGGAGGCUCACAACGGCCAGGCAGGCUCCGAUCUUCUCAAUGUGGUCCCUCGCUGUGGCGGCUUAGCUUAGAUCUUCUCUCAAACUCAGGCCGCUAGAGGGUCCCCACCGGGAAAGGGACACGCCAGGGCGUGGGGCAGGUCUGGAGCGGCCCGGGGCCGGGUGGAUCCCGGCGCUCUGCUUUUACCUGGCAGGCGGGAGCGGUCCGGCGGGGCGUGGGCGCAGCGGGGGCCCGGGGCUGGAGGGGAGGGGACGGAGGGGGCAGGAGGGGGAGGGCCGGGAGGAGCCAGCAAGCUGGCGGCGGCGGCGGCCUUGAGCCACUGGCUGGGGCUGGUUGUGGCCGAGGCUGUGGCGAGAGGCGGGGCCGCUGGUGUGGCCAACGAGCCCGUAAUGAAGCCCGGCGCCUGAGUCCCCUUUGUUCCCGGGGAACUACUUAAAAAGCCCCCUCCUCAGUCCCCGUGCGGGGCGAAUGAGGACAAUGGCCGGAGUCGCAGUGGGCAGAGCGGAACGCCCCCUUCAGAGAGGCCUUUCCAGCCGCGCGGCCCGGGGGACUGCAGGCGGGGCGCGCGCUGCCCUUCGAGGCCAAGAGGCCAACGGUGAAACAACAAAGAUUUUUUUUUUCUUUCUUUUUUCUUUUUUUUUUAGAAAGAAAUCUCGCCAUUGCCGGGAAUGGGUAAAUCACUCAGGCCGCGUGGGUCCUUGGCAGAUGGCAGAGGCGGCUUCCCAGUCCCCCACCUGGCACUAGAGGGACGGGGCGCGCACCCAACGGUGGCACGCAUCGCCGAAUUUUCCUGAAUGCCGCUGUGGCACAUUCCUGGCCUUUGCAGUUAUUAGGAAAUGAGAGGAUCUUUUUUCCUUCUACUCUCCCCUCCCCCUGCCUUCGUUUUUCUUCCAGGCAUGGAAUUAUCUACUUUAGCAGUUCAAAAGACAUUCCAUUCCCAUGACAAAGACAGAAAGGGGUGAUGUUGGCAUACUGUAGCCCUCUUUCUCAUAGGGAGACUUGAGCAAUAAAUCAUAAUGAAUGAGA